RNAcentral lists this ribosomal RNA (629 nucleotides) under Stoloteuthis leucoptera. RNAcentral's name for it is "partial 28S ribosomal RNA". The stretch from base 496 to 629 matches the Rfam family "Eukaryotic large subunit ribosomal RNA", at positions 813 to 946 of the family's 3401-position model. Lineage: Eukaryota; Metazoa; Mollusca; Cephalopoda; Sepiida; Sepiolidae. The record is from RNAcentral.
CCGAGGAGUCCUGGCCGUUCGCGAGUCGUAGGGGCCCCCACUGACUAACCCCGAAGGCGUAGCGAAAGCGAGAGAGCGUGUCGGAGGGCGUCGACCGGGAGAGGUGUCGUGGCAAAGUCGUGCGGGCGUCGUCGGGGUGAAAAGCGGUUUCGGCCGUCUCUUCUCCUCGCCUCGUCCGCCCUCCACGCCGUGCCCGAUCCCGCCGGCGCGGUGUCUCGUCCUCCGCGUCGUCCUCUCGUCAUCGAUGUUGCCGGCAACGGCGACGACCGGUGACGACGACUGGCGUGGCGAUCGUUUCCUCCUUCCCUCCUUCCGAGGAGAUGGCGGGGCAUCAGCUUACAUCCUCCUACCGUUCAUCGGUGAGAUCCCGCGGCUUGAACUAGUCCUAUUUUGUCGUCGAGUUUAGGCACUGCACGUGGGCGCAUCACCCCCGGGUCGGCGGUGAAAACCUUUCCGAGUACGACUCGGCCGACUCUGGCGUAGCGAGCGGCCAGGGACCCGAAAGAUGGCGAUCCACGCCCGGUCGGGAUGAAGCCAGAGGAAACUCUGGUGGAAGUCCGAAGCGCCUCUGACGUGCAAAUCGAUCGUCGGAACCGGGUGUAGGGGCGAAAGACCAAUCGAGCCGUCUA